UCCCACGGAGGCAGGACCAACCCCUGCAGGCCUUCAGGACUGGGGGUCUCAGGGAGGGAAGGAGGUUCUGGGCUUCUCUUGGGCUUGGACUGGACUUCAUCUCCUUGAGCUUGAGCUGGACGUGCUCUGUCUGAUCUAUUCCCCACUACCAAAGAGGAGAGGUUAAAAGAGGUCCAUGUAGGGACUCAGUCCUAUUUAACUUGUUCUCUGCAGCCAGGCUGGAAGAUGCAACAAGAGACCUGGAUUCAGGAGUAAAGAACACAUGCCCACACCUCUGAGAAAGUAAACUCAAAAGACUGUGCAUCAUCCAAAGCUGAAAUCACCCUAAAAACAGUCAUUCAAGAAUUCUGCAUGCAGAUGACUGGGCCCUAGGAGUAAACACAGAAGAAGACACCUGCCAGGCAAUAGACAGCAGAUGUAUUAGACCUUCAAACUGAGGGGAAACCAGUGAGAGCAAAAAACCCAAGACCUGAAGAGCAUGACCCCUGAGGAUCAAAAACACGUUUCUUACAUGGAGUCUUUAUAUCAGAACAUUAUCACUAUGGCUUGGGGCUUACCUGAAGCUGUUCCUGGUGGUGGCCAUCACCAUCUCUGACCAGAUCCUACCAGAAAGCUCCCUGAUUUCUGAAGCAGAUGGGGCUUCUCUGCAGAGGAUGCAGGAGUGAUUUGAGUGCCUUGGAAAAGUGCCGGUCUGGAUGGAGCAGGAGACAUUGGAGCUGGCCAGCCGAGGAGGUGCUGGACUGGGUCUUACCUAGCUUGGACUGGGUGGGGUCCCUUUGUGCGGGUCAUUUAUAUUGUUCUCCAGGCCUAGAUCCAGCACAGGAGAGGGACCCCAGCUGAAGAAGAUACUUUCUGUUACCACAAGAAAGCCAGCAACUGUCUCCCAUUCCCCCACCAUUUCCCCUCCCCAAUCUCUGAUCACAUCUUCUCCUUGACACCCUCCCCUCUCCCUUUCUAGCUCUUCCUUUCUGCCUCUAUGGCCCCACCCCUUCUUUAUGUCUCUGCCCCACUGGUGGCUGUGCCCCUUAGCACCAAGGGAUGGGGGAAGGCUGUAUAACCUUCCAAUAAAGGGAGAGAAUCAAUUAAA
Long non-coding RNA from Ornithorhynchus anatinus (platypus), 1087 nucleotides. RefSeq lists it as uncharacterized. Lineage: Eukaryota; Metazoa; Chordata; Mammalia; Monotremata; Ornithorhynchidae. The transcript is spliced from 2 exons. The record is from RefSeq and is a predicted model, not a curated record.